UCCCAGAUAGCUCAAUUGGUAAAGAAUCUGUCUGCAAUGCAGGAGGCCCUGGUUCGAUUCCUGGGUCGGGAA
RNAcentral lists this transfer RNA (72 nucleotides) under Bos taurus (domestic cattle). It matches the Rfam family "tRNA". From Rfam's summary of the family: Transfer RNA (tRNA) molecules are approximately 80 nucleotides in length. Their secondary structure includes four short double-helical elements and three loops (D, anti-codon, and T loops). RNAcentral also lists the same sequence under 4 other names. Lineage: Eukaryota; Metazoa; Chordata; Mammalia; Artiodactyla; Bovidae. The record is from Rfam by way of RNAcentral.